UAUGACCUAAAUCUGACCUCCUUGAUGAUAAAUUUUCUAAGUGUUGAUUUUCAGCUGAGUUCACAGGUUUCCUUAUCACAAUAAGCACAUAGUUUGUCAUCAUCAAAAAGAGGGAAAUUGUUGGCCCAAGUUUCAGUUGGAGUUUUGAAGAUUGACAAAUGAACCUCUGAAAGGACUUGGUCCAUCUUGUACUAAACAGUCUGAAUUAACCAGGACACAUGUGAAGCACGUGAGGAAGAUAUGCACUAAAGAUCACCCAUCAAUAUGUUCUGAACGUAAUAAAAAAGGUUGCAUUUGGGAUAAGAAGGACAGUCUCCUUAUGUGAAGAGAAACUGAUCUUAAGUUAGGAUAAGAGUUAGAGUUUGUAUUGGCUAAGGAUUUAAAUGGACUACGGGUAAGAAGUGGAGUUGUAAUGGAACUCUAACUACUAACUCAAUAUAUUAUUGUGGCUGUUCUCUUUUACAGGUAACACAUUCGAGC
RNAcentral lists this long non-coding RNA (480 nucleotides) under Nicotiana benthamiana. RNAcentral's name for it is "long non-coding RNA (NBEN_LNC022465)". The record is from RNAcentral. Lineage: Eukaryota; Viridiplantae; Streptophyta; Magnoliopsida; Solanales; Solanaceae.